Molecule: ribosomal RNA, 758 nt
Filed under: uncultured bacterium
Lineage: Bacteria
Description: bacterial SSU rRNA
Rfam family: Bacterial small subunit ribosomal RNA
Source: RNAcentral
GAUGAACGCUAGCUACAGGCUUAACACAUGCAAGUCGAGGGGCAUCAGGAAGAAAGCUUGCUUUCUUUGCUGGCGACCGGCGCACGGGUGAGUAACACGUAUCCAACCUGCCCUUUACUCGGGGAUAGCCUUUCGAAAGAAAGAUUAAUACCCGAUAGCAUAAUGAUUCCGCAUGGUUUCAUUAUUAAAGGAUUCCGGUAAAGGAUGGGGAUGCGUUCCAUUAGGUUGUUGGUGAGGUAACGGCUCACCAAGCCUUCGAUGGAUAGGGGUUCUGAGAGGAAGGUCCCCCACAUUGGAACUGAGACACGGUCCAAACUCCUACGGGAGGCAGCAGUGAGGAAUAUUGGUCAAUGGGCGCUAGCCUGAACCAGCCAAGUAGCGUGAAGGAUGAAGGCUCUAUGGGUCGUAAACUUCUUUUAUAUAAGAAUAAAGUGCAGUAUGUAUACUGUUUUGUAUGUAUUAUAUGAAUAAGGAUCGGCUAACUCCGUGCCAGCAGCCGCGGUAAUACGGAGGAUCCGAGCGUUAUCCGGAUUUAUUGGGUUUAAAGGGAGCGUAGGUGGACUGGUAAGUCAGUUGUGAAAGUUUGCGGCUCAACCGUAAAAUUGCAGUUGAUACUGUCAGUCUUGAGUACAGUAGAGGUGGGCGGAAUUCGUGGUGUAGCGGUGAAAUGCUUAGAUAUCACGAAGAACUCCGAUUGCGAAGGCAGCUCACUGGACUGCAACUGACACUGAUGCUCAAAGGUGUGGGUAUCAAACAGG